Molecule: non-coding RNA, 1823 nt
Organism: Elaeis guineensis (African oil palm)
Lineage: Eukaryota; Viridiplantae; Streptophyta; Magnoliopsida; Arecales; Arecaceae
Source: RefSeq, a predicted model, not a curated record
UCGAGUCCCAAUGAUCCAUCGAUCAUCUCCUCACACUGCCUACGGUUUCUUGGAGCGAGUUCUCUGAUGCUCGAUCGAUCGGACCCUAGCUGGGGAUUGAUGUAUCGGUCUUUCCGGGUCCGAUUUCGCUGAAGGAAGAUCGAAUUGAAUUGGAGGUCUCUGUCUUGACUGAAUUUUGAUCGGACGGAAGUGGCACGCUUUCGGGACCGGAGGUUGGUCGAUUGAGGCGACGGUGGGCUAAAAUUUUGGUCUUCUGGUGGUUGGAUUGUGGGGUUUUGGAUCAAUGGAUUUGGUGCCGAGUUUCAGGGAUAAAUUAGCGUGCUUCAGAAUUAAGGAGCUUAAAGAUGUCCUGACUCAACUGGGUCUAGGAAAGCAAGGGAAAAAACAGGAUCUUAUUGAUAGGAUUUUGGCAUUAUUGUCAGAUGAACAAGGUACCGAUGUUUUGUGACUUUUCUUUUCCUAUAAUAUCUGAGAUCUCAUUCUGAUUAAUUUUUUCCUUGGUGAAAUUGCAUUUGUCUGCAGAUUUCAAUUAUUGAUAUAUAUCUUCUUUUGGUGAUUUUGUUCUAUAAUUCUUUUAUUUUUCUUUUGCACAAUUAUAAGUUCUUUGUUGUUUGUUGAACAUAAUAUUCGAUUCUAUUCAAUUCUUCUGCUGGUUGGUGUUGCUGCUGCUGCUAUUUAAUCUUUUCUAAUGCGAGGUAGUUUUAUUCAGAUGUGUUUAUGUUCAUUGAUCAUAUAGUAUUAAUUUUGGCUCAUUGUGAUAUAUUGUUUUUAAUCCCUAUCAUCUGUAGGUAAUUGUUGUGUUAUGUUUUUCUCUGUAUCCUUUUUGUUCUUGUAUCUUUGCUGUUUCAGUUAAAGCUAUAUAUGUUUUCUUUGUUAGAUGUUAUCUUUUACAGAAUCAUGGAGCAUCCCAUAAAAAAAAGUGUUCUGAACAACCUUCAUGCAAUAGUACAUAUUGAUUUGAAGCAUGGAUAUAGACAUCUAUGUGCAUGCACAUCGGUCUUAUUGUUUGCAUUUUAGCACAUCAGCUUUCAUGCUUUCCUAAGUAAUAGUAGUUAGAGGAAAAUAUCACAGAGUAAUGACUGAUUCAUGUAUGCCUCUCUCUGUACACCACUAAGGCAAGCCACGAGAGAAAAAAAUGAGUUCUUUACCCAAAUAAUAUUAAUUUUUUUUUACAAAACUAAUGCACCUUUCAAUUUAUUUACAAGAAUGAUGCAAAACCAUAAAACGCCAUUUCAAAUAGCGUUUAUUUGAUAGAAAACGCCAUUCCAACUGAUGUUUUUUCGCACGUUCCCAUCCCCCGUGGAAUCAAAAAUCAAACUUCGCUACACGUCAUCUCCUCCCCAUCUUUGGUGGAAUGAAAAUUCAAAAAAAAAAAUCAAAAGCGCCAUUUCAAAUGGCGUUUUCAAACCCCUCAUGUUAAUUUUAAAACAAAUUACGAAAAUAAUCCACCACCAUCCCUGUUAAAUUUAAUUUUUUACUAAUUUAUUAUUAAUUUUAAAAUAAUUUAUGAAAAUAAUGUUCAAAUUUUUACUAAUUUAUUGUUAAUUUUAAAAUAAUUUAUUGUUAAUUUUAAAAUAAUUUACGAAAAUAAUGUUCUUAAAUGCCCUCACGCCAUAUGCGAGUGCUGAAUCACCCAAGAAAAUUGGAUCACCCAAAAAAAUCAUGGUGUGGAAGGAGAGUCGCCAUAUCAAAGGGCGACUCAUAAAGCCUUAUGAACCUCCUCCCAUCUCUUAUCCUCCGAUCGGAUCCGGUCGUCCUCCGAUCUGAUCCUCUCAGUUCUCAUCCUCUAGUCGGAUCCGGAUCCUCCCAGCUCUCAUUCUCCU